RNAcentral lists this non-coding RNA (795 nucleotides) under Lordithon arcuatus. The record is from RNAcentral. Lineage: Eukaryota; Metazoa; Arthropoda; Insecta; Coleoptera; Staphylinidae.
AAAUUGCCCUCACGGUUUUAAACUAGACAGAAAAGUAAGUGUUUGCGGGGAGGUAUUUGAUACUGUGUUUAGGGUACAAAAANUUUAUAAAAUUUAGAGAAUUAUAUAAUAAUUUUAUUCGCAGUAAAUAAUAUUAUAAAUGUAAGAAAUUAUGAUUUAGUAAUGUUCAAAAAUAUUAACAAAAUUUGUGCCAGCCGUUGCGGUUAUACAGAUAAUGUAAUUAAUUGGGGUUAGUUUAUAGUAAAUAUUAAUAAUAAUAAAAAUAAAAUUGAAUUUAUUAGGUGAAAUUUUAAAUUUAAAAAAUUUUAUAUUUAUAUAUUGAAUCUAUUAAAUUUUGAAUUAAACUAGGAUUAGAUACCCUAUUAUUUGAAAAGUAAAAUUAUAACUAAAUGAAUAAUAGUUAUGUUCUUUAAAGUUAAAAAUUUUGGCGGUAUUUUAGUCUAUUCAGAGGAACCUGUCCUGUAAUCGAUAUUCCACGAUUAAUUGUACUUAUUUUAAAUAGUUUGUAUACCGUCGUAAAUUGAAUAUUUUUUAAGAAGUUAAAUAUUCAAGAUUUUUAUAAAAAAGCAAUUCAGAUCAAGGUACAGUUUAUAAAUAAGAAGAGAUGGGUUACAAUAAAAUUAUUUAUAUUGAAAAUAAAAUGAAAUUUUAUUAAAAAGUGGAUUUGAAAGUAAUUAAGUUAAUUUAAAUUUAAUGAUUUUAGCUCUAAAAUAUGCACAUAUCGCCCGUCACUCUCAUAUAAAAUGAGAUAAGUCGUAACAAAGUAGAUGUACUGGAAAGUGUAUCUAGUUAGUC